Molecule: ribosomal RNA, 512 nt
Filed under: uncultured marine eukaryote
Lineage: Eukaryota
Description: SSU rRNA
Rfam family: Eukaryotic small subunit ribosomal RNA
Source: RNAcentral
UUGCGGUUAAAAAGCUCGUAGUUGGAUUUCUGUUGAGGAUGACCGGUCCGCUCUUUGAGCGCGUAUCUGGUUCAGCCUUGGCAUCCUCUUGGGGAACGCUACUGUGCUUGAUUGCAUGGGGCGGUAUUCAAGACUUUUACUUUGAGGAAAUUGGAGUGUUCACUGCAAGCGUUAGCAAUUGAAUACAUUAGCAUGGAAUAAUAAUAUAGGACCUUGGUACUAUUUUGUUGGUUUCUAGAACUAAGGUAAUGAUUAAUAGGGACAAUUGGGGGCAUUCGUAUUAACGCGUCAGAGGUGGAAUUCUUAGAUUGCGUUACGACGAACUACUGCGAAAGCAUUUGCCAAGGAUGUUUUCAUUGAUCAAGAACGAAAGUUAGGGGAUCGAAGACGAUCAGAUACCGUCCUAGUCUUAACCAUAAACCAUGCCGACUAGAGAUUGGAGGUCGUUAUCUAUACGACUCCUUCAGCACCUUAUGAGAAAUCAAAGUCUUUGGGUUCCGGGGGGAGUAUGG